GCCCACUGGUUGUACAUAUAUGUUAGAAGUGUUUUUUGUUCGCUUCCGUGUUAUUGUUGCAACAAAUUCCAAAUUAAUGUUUGAUUACUAUGCCAGAUUAAUUUUAUCGAUGUUACACCAUUUCUUUGUUCUUAAUUUCAAAUUGUGGUGUGAGCGUCGGGUUGCAAAGGUUCCACUUAGACAAGUUCCUUUGGUGAUAGUAUUGUUGUUGUUGUGCAUAAACUGAGUCUAUAAAAGAACAGACAGG
Molecule: long non-coding RNA, 247 nt
Filed under: Mytilus galloprovincialis (Mediterranean mussel)
Lineage: Eukaryota; Metazoa; Mollusca; Bivalvia; Mytilida; Mytilidae
Source: RNAcentral